Molecule: long non-coding RNA, 7159 nt
Filed under: Homo sapiens (human)
Lineage: Eukaryota; Metazoa; Chordata; Mammalia; Primates; Hominidae
Description: HSALNT0313707
Source: RNAcentral
GUGAAUGAAACUAUUGAACUAACCUUGGAGCUGACCUGACAUAUUAGAGGUUCUUAGCAUCAUUAAAUUCCUAAUUUUGACUUAUCAGUCAUCAGCUGGUUGUAGUUUCAGAGUAUUAUCUCUUUCUUCUUAGUGUCUCUGAAUAUGUGCUUUUUUUUGUAAUUAAGAUUCUUCACUUGUUAAUACUUCUGGCCAAUGGAAUGCAAACUAACAUCUGUUGCAUGGUCAGGCAACACUAGCAACACUGGAUUAUUCCAUGCCUGGACUAUGCUACUUUCAGGCUUUUGUGCUUCAAUUACGCUGUUUGCUCUGCUUCUCAUAAUGCUCCCUCAUGUUUUCUUCUUUGCUCCUCAACUCAGAGAAUUCUAGCUCAUUCUUCAAGGCCAAGAUCAAAUAUCACUUCCUCCAAGAAGCCUUUCUCAACCCUACUUUUCCUCUUUGCCAUGAUUCUCCAUCAUUUCAUAGGUCUAGUUAUCUCUCCCAUGAUGCUUUGUUCAUACUGCUAACAAAAUGUGUCAGUAGAUAUUUGUUUCUACAUAAUAGUUUCCUCUUCUAUCACAUUAGCUUGGAGAAAAUGAAAUUUGUCCUGAGUAUAUUUGCAUGUCUGUAUUAGGGUUCUCUAGAGAGACAGAACUAAUAGGAUAGAGAGAUAGGUGGAUUGGCUCAUGUGAUUAAAGAGGCUGAGACGUUCCUCGAUAGACCAUCUGUAAGCCUGGAGACACAGGGAUGCCAGUAGCAUGGUUGUCCAAACUGGAGGGCCUCAGAACCAGGGAAGCCCUUGGUGCACCUCUCACUCUAAGGCUGAAGACCUAAGAAGCCAGGAGGCCACUGGUGCAAGUCUCAGAGUUCAAAGGCUGGAGAACCUAGAGUUCUGAUGGCCAAGGACAGGACGAGAAGGGUGUCUCAGCUCCAGGAGAGAGAGCAAGAGAGCCUUUCCUCUGCCUUUUCACUCUAUCCAGACCCCCAGCCGGUUAGAUGGUGCCCACCCACAUUGAAGGAGGAUCUCCCCAACUCAGUCCACGAACUCACAUGCCAAUAUCCUCUGGAAAUACCCUCAUAGACACACUCAGAAAUAAUGAUUUAGCACCCAUCUCUUAAUCCAGUCAAGUUAAUACCUAAAAUUAACCAUCACAAUCUCCAAAGUCAAACAUAGUGCCUGGUGGAGACCUACGUGUGUCGAAUCAAUCAAGAAAACUUACAGUGUGGUAUGUAGUAUACAGAGUCACUUUAGCCUAGGUUUGAGUUAUAGGUCAAGCCACUUACUACCUGUUAACCUUGGACACAUUAUUUAAACUUUCUGAGCACUUGUUUUCUCAUUUGUAAAGCGAAGAUGUUAAAAAUAAUAUAAAUUAACUUUUGAACAUGGCUUGAGAAUGUAAUAAGUUAACACCUUUACAGUUAUGUAGAGCAGUGCCUGAGGCACAGUAGGCACACAAUAAAUAUUAGCCCUUAUUAUAAUAAUCAUCUUAUAUAGUGAGAUUGGUCUCCUAGAAGGGCAGUGAAAAUAUUAUCAAAAGAAUCACCAAUUGCUGCUCAGGAGCAUUGAAGGAGCACCUUGAGUUGGAGAAGUGUCAACAAUUUUGAUUGAAGCUAGAUGAGCGUGUCUAUGCCUAGUGGGCAGGCCUUAAUUUGCUGCUUCUUCACAUUUCACUGGCGAUUAAAUGCUGAGGGACCCAUGUCUCUGAUACCUGGCUUGGAGCCCAGUCUCCUGGGAUGCUAUUUCAACUUGACCCAGCUAUAAAAGCAUAGGAACCCCAGUCAUCAGAUAAAGCAGUAGAGCAACGAAGGUCUGUGCUGUCUGGUCAAGGGUUAGAUUUGGAUGGUUAGGGAGCUGGAAGAUAUUGGUAUGGGAUUGUGGGGUUGGAGAGAUGGAUUUGGCUUAGGAGAACAGAAGGAAGGCUCCAGCAGCAGGAAAUCAUUUUCUUGCUAGCCUGUGUUCCAAUUAGGGGCAAAUAUUAGAAGCAGGAACUGCCUCAAGGUAGGAGGAUAAUAGGACUGAGGGUUUUAGGUAAGGGAUAUCCUGCCACAGAGAUGACAAUGUGAUCUGGUAUGCGUUUUCCUCUGCAUGUCAAAUGAAUAACAAGGAUUAAUUUGCUUCCGCCACAAGAUGCACAACAUUCUCUACUCCUCCCUCUGCUGUGGCUGCUGGAGGCCACUCAUGUAGGGCACCCAUAUUCAUGACAGCUUGAAAGCACUAGAGAAAGCCAGCUUCUAUAUUACAUUGCAAAAUUGCAGCAGGCUUAUUUCUUUGAGAGCACAUACUGUUUUGAGUCCUGAGAAGUCCCUUUUGUAUCUUGCCUACCUCUCCUCUUUGAGAGCCUGUAACAUACGUGCAGUGGGCAUAAACCACACACCAAGCCCUCGCUGUGCUAGUGGAUUUACUUUCGAUUGCUACUACAACAAAUUACUACAAAUUUAGGGGCUUAAAACAACACCCAUUUAUUAUCUCACAGUUCUGUAGGUCAGAAGUCCAGUAGGCGCAGCUGGUUUCUCUGUUUCAAGUCUCACAAGACUGAAAUCAAGGCAUUCGCUGAGCUGCUUUCCCUUCCGGAGGCUCUAGGGGAGAGUCCAUUUCCAGGUUAAUCCAGGUAGUCGGCAGAAAUCAAUGUCUAUAGAACUGAGGUCUGUUUCCUUUGCUGGCUGCCAUCUGGGCAUCUCCCUUGGUAUUUAGAGGCCUCUUUUGAGUCAUUGUAGGUAGUCUCUGCACACCCAAAACUAGGAAUGGCAUAUUAAAUUCUUCUGACCCUGGAUCUCUUCUGUCUCCGCUUCUUGUGCUGCAUCUCUAUGACCAACUCUUCUGCCUUCCACUUCUGCUUUUAAGUGAUUAGAUGGGCCCCCUUGGUAAUCCAAGAUAAUCUUCCUAUUUUAAGGUCUGUAAUCUCAAUCACAUCCACACUGUCUCUUUUGCCACGUAAAGUAACAUAUUCACAAGUUCCCAGAGAUUAGGGCUUGGAAAUCUUUGGGGGACAUUAUUCUGCCUACCACAGCUAGGUUAUUUUCAUAUUUUUCUCCCUUAAUCCAUGUAACAGCCUCGUAAAGAAAGCAUUGUUAUACUCAUCAUAUACGAAUAGUAACUGAGGUUCAGAGAGGUUCCUAUUACAACUGAUAAACGGGGGAGCUGGGGUUUGAAUCUUGCUUCAGAGCUCACACUCCGUCCUCUGCCAGAGAUGGAGGGGUGGAAGAAAAGCCAUCAUGUGACCUGCCACUCUCAUUGCAUUUCCCACCAUUGUUUCACUAGGGCUGCUUCUCAACUUAGCAAGGUCGUCACUCUGUCCACCAAAGAUUUCUAACUCUCCUCCUGGGUAUGUGGUAUGUGUGUCUCCUGGGUCUCAUCAGAACACACAUGGCACGCUCAAAUGAAGUUAUUGAGAAGAGAUUAAUAAAAGGACUGUUUACAAGGUUGUGAGUGGGGCAAUGUAAAACCAACAAGGAAUGACAGAGCAUGUUGGCUAACAACAGCUAUUGCACCCCACGCCUGGAGGAGUAUAGGGAAGAAACAGUUACUAGAACCCCAAGAGAAAGGAGAAACUGAAGGAGGGGAUGCCUGGCUGGAGCUGUGGCCUUCAAUAGUGGAACACCGCUACAACCAGCCUGGCAGGGAGGCUUCUGUGGAUUUCUGAGAGAGCGGAGGAGGAGCAUGUACAAUCACCACAAGCUCCAUGGCUGACCAGCACAGGCAUUAGGGCAUAACAGAACUGACCUUCCUCCCAGCCCUGUCGUGAGGAUGAAAUCCUGUGUGGAGCACUUUGAAAUCUUUGGAUGAAAAGCACGACAGAAGUGCCAAGUAUGAUUGUUACCCGUGCCAGCCACACUAGAAGACAGCAUAAAAAUAGGAAGCAAAGAAAAUUUCAUUUUACAAAAGCUUCAGUGAGAAAAUUGGCUGGUCAGAAUGUCAUUCCCUAGUUUUGGUUCACAUACACGUUGUCUUUUAUAAAAUUAAAGGAAAAAAAUAAUUGUACACAUUUUUGUCUUUGCCGGGAAGAAGCCCUUUGAUCAUCACCAUCCCUGCGACGCCAGGUGAGUCCCUGAUGCAGAAGGAAGAUCGAUACAUGAGGAGACCGUGUGGAAUCAGUUAUUUGUAGUUGCUCCCCAAUUUCUGUUUUUCAUUGCAAGGAAUCGAAGCCAUAAAGUCUGAGGGGGUGUUACAGGUUGAGGAUUAGGGAGUGUCUAAACCUUGACAUCGUCACAACAUAGGAUCCGAGAUACCUCCAGCUAAAACAGAGACUGUGCUUUCAGAACUGGCCCUGCACGCAGCCUCUACUCCAGUGCUCUCAGGUCCUGUCCUUAAUAGGAGAACAUGAGAGCUGCAGAUUUAAAAACCCAAGAGGGAACCUUUGCAACAACCUUUGUUAUAUUAGGAAUCCCAAAAUAAGCUAGAAGAGAGGAAUUUGAAUGUUCUCAACACAAAUGAUAAAUGUUUGAGAUGAUGGAUAUGCUAAAUACACUUAUUUGAUCAUUAAACAUCGUAUACAGAGGGCUCCCAUAAUUGUAUAAGCCUCAUGCCUCACAAAACCUGAAGGUGCCUUUGGUGAGGAGGAUCAUCAGAACACCAGCAGAGUACCUCGACGUGUGAAAUCUAGCACUGGAUUCCAUCCCUGACUUUUCCUAAGAAUCACUGUGAAUGCUCUGGACAAAUUGCUGCUGCGCUGGGUGCUCCCUGUGUCAUCACACUUCCUAAUUGUACUUCUGGGUCCUCUGAAGCUGUUCCCAGUGCUUAAUCGUAAGAAAAGAAGCUCCAAAUACUAGUUCAGAAACUCAGGUAGAAAGAGACCUUAAAUGUCAUGUCCAGCCACUCUUCUGAUGCUUGAGUCUUCUCUUCAGGAGGCAUCUGGGCCUGGGCUUGGACCCCUUGCCUCAGUCAACCCAUUAGAAGUGUCUUUCCUUGUCUUGAGUCAAAACCAGUCCACUGCUACUGGCAUUGCUCUAUACUUCCAGGCUGUACAGAAGAUGUCUAACCUUUCAGAUGAGAAUGGCAGAGGAAAGCAAGAAGAAAGAAACUUUAAUUGUUCCUCAACUUCCCAAUUAGGCACACCAUUAGGGGUUUUUAAUAUGGUUCUUGAUUUAAUCUUCUCAUUAACUUUCUGAUGUAAGUAUUAUUAUUUUAUUCUAGGGUUCCCAGAUGUAGCAAAUAAAAAUAGAGGAUAUCCAGUUAUAUCUGAAUUUCAGAUCAAAACAAAUGAUUUUUAAAUAAAACAUACACUCCCAAAAGUGUGAAAUUAAUUUGUCCUUGGACAAGAGAUAUGGAAAUGUCAUGUAUUUUACCUGGAAAUCCUGUUAUUAUGCCCAUUUUUGGAGCUGAGGAAACUAAAGGUAGGAGCCUAGGUAAGUAGUGGAGCUGGAAUCUAAGCCCAGGUCCUUGAUUUCAAAGCACAACCCCAUGCCCCACAAUAUCAUACACUGAUUUAGUAUCUGCCUCCUACCUACCCCCAAGAAAAAUGUGAAAUUAAUUUGUCUUUAGAAAGGAGCUACCAAAGCUAUAAAAACAAAACAAAUGUAUUUGCAGCUAAGAGAAGACAAUCUCCAGGAAACUACUGCUUCAGUUAUUUGACACUGGGCAGAAUUUUUGGUGAGAAAUCAGCAAGAUCAUAGCCUGGAGUGAACACUGGAGGCAUGAGAUGUCCUUGAGAAAGAGGCUAGAACAGAGGGUGGAACGCCCCUUCUAUUAAAGCAGUUGUUUUCCAGGGUCUCUGGAAAGCUCCUUCCUUUGUCGUGGCGGUGGUGGGGAAGGGGAGGCUGGGACCCUAAUGCAUGACUUUCCACCUGGGUGUCACUGGCACCUGAUGUCCUAAUCAUAUUUCCCUGUCACCUCUCAGUGCUGAUUUACUUUCUCCUCCCAUUCUACAUGCUGCAGAACUAAUUGCCUGCCUAAUUGCCAAAACGAAUUGCUGUGACAUUCAUUGUUCAUCUGCUCCUUUCUCCGGCUUGAGCUCAGGCAGGUGGCUCCCAUGAAGGCAAGGGUGGAAUUAUUCCUGCUUUAGGGCCAGGAUGCUUCAGAGUGAUGGCCCAACAAUUAUCUUCCUCAUGGAGGCGGACCAAGGAAUCACCUUCCUCAUUGAGCAGGGGACAAUAAUUCUUGGCAGGGGUUCCCCUUCUUCUGCUGUAAGAUUGGGUAGCUUUGACAGGUUGUGAGUCAGUUAAAUUGUACUUUUCAGGGAGUUCCUCUCUCCCAUUUGGAGAUUAGGAUUAGAUUUGUUGGUUAAGAAACUGACCGAGAGAGGAGAGACAGCUCCUUGCUGGCCACAUAGCUCAUUCAUGGUGAAGUUGAAUCUGGGGCUCAGAUAUCCCAAUUCAUAGCCCAGAAUGAUUUCUACUGCACCACACCACAACUGUUGCAGUUGCACUAAUUACGGUUUUAUAUUUCCUUAUAAACUUUUAUUAAACCCCUAUCAAAUAGUAUGUCCUCAUUGGUAGCAAGAAUAAUAAAUAUUUAUUGAGUUGUUAUGAAUAUUAAGCCUACUUUUUUUUCAUGUAAUCCUGAAAAAAGGCAACAUGACAGAGAUGCUCUCAGUAUCCUUAUUUUAUAUCAGGGAAAGUGGAGGCAGAGGGAGGUUAAUAACUUGCCCAGGUCUGACACCAGAUCCCAUCCUCUUACCCCCACAAGCCCAUGUGCAGAUUCCUCCUGACAGCUUCUGGAUUCUGAUACACGAAAGAACUUAUGAAGAUGACUUGAAGGCUGGAGCUGGCGCAACAUGAAACUAAUCAACCAGAUUAUGCAAAUUAUUAUGUAAACUCCUAUUAUUGAGCCAGGAUUCAUGACAGCCCCUUUUUUCCAACGCUGCUGAGAUAAAAGCAAAUGGAUUGCAACACUAGCUUGGGAUGAAUUCAGGGAGCUUGGAAAGAAUUCCUGGGAUUUUCUGGGCAGUGGAAAAGACAGUGGGUUGGGAGUCAAGAACCUGAAGUUUAGUUCCGGAUCUGGCAUUAGGUAGCUGCAUGGCCCUGGGAGGACCUAUGUGCCUCAGUUUCUUCAACUGUGAAACGAGAUAAGACUCCAUGCUCUGGAAGACCCCUGCCAUUCUAGGCAUCUCGGAUGGCAUGUCCAAGAUGGAAGCACACAAUGGCAGAGGCUUGUAGCGACCUUCAGGACAGCUUUCCAGUAGCUGUAAAUAAAAGUCUUAUUGUUUGGUUCUUGGUCUUUCCCCCCUCUCAGUGACAGGAAGAA